This 1257-nucleotide ribosomal RNA is filed under the name Acinetobacter sp. EASC1. RNAcentral's name for it is "bacterial SSU rRNA". It matches the Rfam family "Bacterial small subunit ribosomal RNA", at positions 167 to 1418 of the family's 1533-position model. The record is from RNAcentral. Lineage: Bacteria; Pseudomonadati; Pseudomonadota; Gammaproteobacteria; Moraxellales; Moraxellaceae.
UACCGCAUACGCCCUACGGGGGAAAGCAGGGGAUCUUCGGACCUUGCGCUAAUAGAUGAGCCUAAGUCGGAUUAGCUAGUUGGUGGGGUAAAGGCCUACCAAGGCGACGAUCUGUAGCGGGUCUGAGAGGAUGAUCCGCCACACUGGGACUGAGACACGGCCCAGACUCCUACGGGAGGCAGCAGUGGGGAAUAUUGGACAAUGGGCGGAAGCCUGAUCCAGCCAUGCCGCGUGUGUGAAGAAGGCCUUUUGGUUGUAAAGCACUUUAAGCGAGGAGGAGGCUCCUUUAGUUAAUACCUAAAGAGAGUGGACGUUACUCGCAGAAUAAGCACCGGCUAACUCUGUGCCAGCAGCCGCGGUAAUACAGAGGGUGCGAGCGUUAAUCGGAUUUACUGGGCGUAAAGCGUGCGUAGGCGGCUUUUUAAGUCGGAUGUGAAAUCCCUGAGCUUAACUUAGGAAUUGCAUUCGAUACUGGAAAGCUAGAGUAUGGGAGAGGAUGGUAGAAUUCCAGGUGUAGCGGUGAAAUGCGUAGAGAUCUGGAGGAAUACCGAUGGCGAAGGCAGCCAUCUGGCCUAAUACUGACGCUGAGGUACGAAAGCAUGGGGAGCAAACAGGAUUAGAUACCCUGGUAGUCCAUGCCGUAAACGAUGUCUACUAGCCGUUGGGGCCUUUGAGGCUUUAGUGGCGCAGCUAACGCGAUAAGUAGACCGCCUGGGGAGUACGGUCGCAAGACUAAAACUCAAAUGAAUUGACGGGGGCCCGCACAAGCGGUGGAGCAUGUGGUUUAAUUCGAUGCAACGCGAAGAACCUUACCUGGCCUUGACAUACUAAGAACUUUCCAGAGAUGGAUUGGUGCCUUCGGGAACUUAGAUACAGGUGCUGCAUGGCUGUCGUCAGCUCGUGUCGUGAGAUGUUGGGUUAAGUCCCGCAACGAGCGCAACCCUUUUCCUUAUUUGCCAUCGGGUAAUGCCGGGAACUUUAAGGAUACUGCCAGUGACAAACUGGAGGAAGGCGGGGACGACGUCAAGUCAUCAUGGCCCUUACGGCCAGGGCUACACACGUGCUACAAUGGUCGGUACAAAGGGUUGCUACCUCGCGAGAGGAUGCUAAUCUCAAAAAGCCGAUCGUAGUCCGGAUCGCAGUCUGCAACUCGACUGCGUGAAGUCGGAAUCGCUAGUAAUCGCGGAUCAGAAUGCCGCGGUGAAUACGUUCCCGGGCCUUGUACACACCGCCCGUCACACCAUGGGAGUUUGUUGC